ACGCGUGGAACCUUACCAGGUCUUGACAUCCUCUGACACUCCUAGAGAUAGGACGUUCCCCUUCGGGGGACAAAGUGACAGGUGGUGCAUGGUUGUCGUCAGCUCGUGUCGUGAGAUGUUGGGUUAAGUCCCGCAACGAGCGCAACCCUUGAUCUUAGUUGCCAGCAUUAAGUUGGGCACUCUAAGGUGACUGCCGGUGACAAACCGGAGGAAGGUGGGGAUGACGUCAAAUCAUCAUGCCCCUUAUGACCUGGGCUACACACGUGCUACAAUGGAUGGUACAAAGGGCAGCAAAGCGGUGACGCCUAGCGAAUCCCAUAAAACCAUUCUCAGUUCGGAUUGUAGGCUGCAACUCGCCUACAUGAAGCUGGAAUCGCUAGUAAUCGCGGAUCAGCAUGCCGCGGUGAAUACGUUCCCGGGCCUUGUACUCACCGCCCGU
Molecule: ribosomal RNA, 439 nt
Filed under: uncultured bacterium
Lineage: Bacteria
Description: bacterial SSU rRNA
Rfam family: Bacterial small subunit ribosomal RNA
Source: RNAcentral